This is a long non-coding RNA of Neltuma alba, 940 nucleotides long. RefSeq lists it as uncharacterized. The record is from RefSeq and is a predicted model, not a curated record. Lineage: Eukaryota; Viridiplantae; Streptophyta; Magnoliopsida; Fabales; Fabaceae. The transcript is spliced from 4 exons.
CUUGCUGAUUUCUGUCUGCAGGUCUGGAACCUUGAGACAUUGCAGUGUUUGCAGACUUUAACUGGGCAUACUUCAGUUGUGAUGUCUGUUCUUUGCUGGGACCAGUUUCUUUUAUCUGGUUCAUUGGACACACAGUAAAGGUUUGGGUAGCUACAGAAAGUGGGAACUUGGAAGUUACUUAUACUCACAAUGAGGAAGAUGGUGUAAUUAAACUCUGUGGGAUGCAUGAUUCACAAGGCAAGCCCAUUUUGCUGUGCUCUUGCAACAAUAAUACUGUACACCUCUAUGAUCUGCCUUCCUUCGCAGAGAGAGGCAAGAUUUUUACAAAGCAAGAGGUUCGAGCUAUUGAGGUUGGUCCUGGUGGUUUAUUCUUCACCGGUGAUGGAACAGGUCAAGUGAAAGUCUGGAAUUGGUUGCCGGAGGCAGCUUCUUCCCAACCAAUAAAUGGCUCUUCCUAAUCGUGUAUUCCAUUCAUUUCUUCUCAUGACUACUAAGUUUCAUUUAGAGUGAGGAAAGAGGGUAGCGGUUGAUAUUAUGCAAUUUGAGUAUGCAUAGGAGGCAUAGGCAUAGGCAUAGGCAUAUAUGGAAAACACGUGAGUUUUGGCACAGCGGUAGCAAGCGUCCAUGUCCAAAUCUGUAAUCUUUUGAAGAGGGUGGGUCUUUCUUCUUGUUAAGGCCUGUCUCUAUAUAUAUUUCUAAUUUUCUUGUCACUUGGAAGUAUUUCAUGGGAUAUGUUUUGGUCCUGUCCUUGGCACAAAGUUGUCUCACGUGGCGUGACUCUGAACAAUGGAGGGACGCCAGGGUUUGUAACAUUACGUGAAUCAUAUUAGUAUCAUUACUUGAGAAGCCCCCAAGUCUAUUGCUUUGAGAAUCCCAUGGGGGGUUUCCCAACAGCUUUUAUGUCUGAGUGGUUUAUUACUUUCAUCCUAUUUUUCAACGA